ACAGGUGGUGCAUGGUUGUCGUCAGCUCGUGUCGUGAGAUGUUGGGUUAAGUCCCGCAACGAGCGCAACCCUUGAUCUUAGUUGCCAGCAUUCAGUUGGGCACUCUAAGGUGACUGCCGGUGACAAACCGGAGGAAGGUGGGGAUGACGUCAAAUCAUCAUGCCCCUUAUGACCUGGGCUACACACGUGCUACAAUGGACGGUACAGAGGGUAGCCAACCCGCGAGGGGGAGCCAAUCCCAUAAAACCGUUCCCAGUUCGGAUUGUAGGCUGCAACUCGCCUGCAUGAAGCCGGAAUCGCUAGUAAUCGUGGAUCAGCAUGCCACGGUGAAUACGUUCCCGUGUCUUGUACACACCGCCCGUCACACCACGAGAGUUUGUAACACCCGAAGUCGGUGGGGUAACCCUUACGGGAGCCAGCCGCCGAAGG
This 429-nucleotide ribosomal RNA is filed under the name uncultured maize root bacterium Zmrc169. RNAcentral's name for it is "bacterial SSU rRNA". It matches the Rfam family "Bacterial small subunit ribosomal RNA", at positions 1034 to 1462 of the family's 1533-position model. The record is from RNAcentral.